Phrynosoma platyrhinos (Desert horned lizard) is the source of this 71-nucleotide non-coding RNA. Lineage: Eukaryota; Metazoa; Chordata; Lepidosauria; Squamata; Phrynosomatidae. The record is from the annotation of a GenBank genome assembly.
GCCAGUGUGGUGCAGUGGUUUGAGUGCUGGACUCCAAUUCUGGAGAUCAGGGUUUGAUUCCCCAUUUGGCC